This 448-nucleotide ribosomal RNA is filed under the name uncultured bacterium. Its description in RNAcentral is "partial 16S ribosomal RNA". It matches the Rfam family "Bacterial small subunit ribosomal RNA", at positions 329 to 793 of the family's 1533-position model. The record is from RNAcentral.
GUCCAGACUCCUACGGGAGGCAGCAGUGGGGGAUAUUGCACAAUGGGGGGAACCCUGAUGCAGCGACGCCGCGUGGGUGAAGGAGCGUUUCGGCGCGUAAAGCCCUAUCGGCAGGGAAGAAGGAGGACGGUACCUGAGUAAGAAGCCCCGGCUAACUACGUGCCAGCAGCCGCGGGAAUACGUAGGGGGCAAGCGUUAUCCGGAUUUACUGGGUGUAAAGGGAGCGUAGACGGCAUAGCAAGUCUGAAGUGAAAGCCCGGGGCCCAACCCCGGGACUGCUCUUGGAACUGCGUGGCUGGAGUGCAGGAGGGGCAGGCGGAAUUCCUGGUGUAGCGGUGAAAUGCGUAGAUAUCAGGAGGAACACCGGUGGCGAAGGCGGCCUGCUGGACUGCAACUGACGUUGAGGCCCGAAAGCGUGGGGAGCAAACAGGAUUAGAUACCCGAGUAU